RNAcentral lists this ribosomal RNA (508 nucleotides) under uncultured bacterium. RNAcentral's name for it is "partial 16S ribosomal RNA". The record is from RNAcentral.
GGAGUUAGCCGGUGCUUCUUCUGUGAGUGAUGUCCUUCCUGCCGGCUAUUAACCCGCAGGCCUUCUUCCUCACUGAAAGUGCUUUACAACCCGAAGGCCUUCUUCACACACGCGGCAUGGCUGGAUCAGGGUUGCCCCCAUUGUCCAAUAUUCCCCACUGCUGCCUCCCGUAGGAGUCUGGGCCGUGUCUCAGUCCCAGUGUGGCUGAUCAUCCUCUCAGACCAGCUACGGAUCGUCGCCUUGGUGAGCCGUUACCUCACCAACCAGCUAAUCCGACAUAGGCUCAUCCGAUAGCGCGAGGCCCGAAGGUCCCCCGCUUUCCCCCGUAGGGCGUAUGCGGUAUUAGCCUGGGUUUCCCCAGGUUAUCCCCCACUACCGGGCAGAUUCCUAUGCAUUACUCACCCGUCCGCCGCUCGCCACCAGGGAGCAAGCUCCCCGUGCUGCCGCUCGACUUGCAUGUGUUAGGCCUGCCGCCAGCGUUCAAUCNGACGCGAGAUACAAACUCUGA